CAGGCCUAACACAUGCAAGUCGAACGAAGGCUUCGGCCUUAGUGGCGCACGGGUGCGUAACGCGUGGGAAUCUGCCCCUUGGUUCGGAAUAACAGUUAGAAAUGACUGCUAAUACCGGAUAAUGACGUAAGUCCAAAGAUUUAUCGCCGAGGGAUGAGCCCGCGUAGGAUUAGCUAGUUGGUGUGGUAAAGGCGCACCAAGGCGACGAUCCUUAGCUGGUCUGAGAGGAUGAUCAGCCACACUGGGACUGAGACACGGCCCAGACUCCUACGGGAGGCAGCAGUGGGGAAUAUUGGACAAUGGGCGCAAGCCUGAUCCAGCAAUGCCGCGUGAGUGAUGAAGGCCUUAGGGUUGUAAAGCUCUUUUACCCGGGAUGAUAAUGACAGUAUCGGGAGAAUAAGCCCCGGCUAACUCCGUGCCAGCAGCCGCGGUAAU
RNAcentral lists this ribosomal RNA (435 nucleotides) under uncultured bacterium. RNAcentral describes it as "bacterial SSU rRNA". It matches the Rfam family "Bacterial small subunit ribosomal RNA", at positions 43 to 524 of the family's 1533-position model. The record is from RNAcentral.